Molecule: non-coding RNA, 87 nt
Organism: Crassisporium funariophilum
Lineage: Eukaryota; Fungi; Basidiomycota; Agaricomycetes; Agaricales; Crassisporiaceae
Source: the annotation of a GenBank genome assembly
GGGGGCAUAGCUCAGUUGGGAGAGCAGCAGACUGAAGCAACACAAGUUGUAUUCUGAAGGUCCCGCGUUCGAUCCGCGGUGCCCCCA